RNAcentral lists this ribosomal RNA (223 nucleotides) under uncultured bacterium. RNAcentral's name for it is "partial 16S ribosomal RNA". It matches the Rfam family "Bacterial small subunit ribosomal RNA", at positions 328 to 539 of the family's 1533-position model. The record is from RNAcentral.
ACGCUCGACACCUACGGGAGGCGGCAGUAGGGAAUCUUCCACAAUGGACGCAAGUCUGAUGGAGCAACGCCGCGUGAGUGAAGAAGGUCUUCGGAUCGUAAAACUCUGUUGUUAGAGAAGAACACGAGUGAGAGUAACUGUUCAUUCGAUGACGGUAUCUAACCAGCAAGUCACGGCUAACUACGUGUCAGCAGCCGCGGUAAUCUGAGCGGGCUGGCAAGGC